This 527-nucleotide ribosomal RNA is filed under the name uncultured bacterium. RNAcentral's name for it is "bacterial SSU rRNA". It matches the Rfam family "Bacterial small subunit ribosomal RNA", at positions 8 to 548 of the family's 1533-position model. The record is from RNAcentral.
AGAGUUUGAUCAUGGCUCAGGAUGAACGCUGGCGGCGUGCUUAACACAUGCAAGUCGAACGAAGCAAAGGGGCUUGCCCCUUUGACUUAGUGGCGGACGGGUGAGUAACGCGUGAGCAACCUGCCUAUACCAGGGGAAUAACACAGUGAAAAUUGUGCUAAUACCGCAUAAGACCACGAGGAGGCAUCUCCUUGCGGUAAAAGAUUUAUCGGGUAUAGAUGGGCUCGCGUCCCAUUAGAUAGUUGGCGGGGUAACGGCCCACCAAGUCGACGAUGGGUAGCCGACCUGAGAGGGUGAUCGGCCACAUUGGAACUGAGAAACGGUCCAGACUCCUACGGGAGGCAGCAGUGGGGAAUAUUGGGCAAUGGAGGCAACUCUGACCCAGCAACACCGCGUGAAUGAUGAAGGUCUUCGGAUUGUAAAGUUCUGUGACGGGGGACGAACACAAUGACGGUACCCCGAUAGCGAGCCUCGGCUAACUACGUGCCAGCAGCCGCGGUAAUACGUAGGAGGCAAGCGUUAUCCGG